This is a non-coding RNA of Glycine soja, 106 nucleotides long. Lineage: Eukaryota; Viridiplantae; Streptophyta; Magnoliopsida; Fabales; Fabaceae. The record is from Rfam.
CUUGGUUAUGUGUUCUUGCUGUAAUAUGGACAGAAAGCAACAGCAUGUGGGCUGUAGGUGUGCUUCGUUGAGUUUUAGAUUGCCCAUAAAGGACCCACACACAUUC